Long non-coding RNA from Daphnia magna, 2348 nucleotides. RefSeq lists it as uncharacterized. The transcript has 2 exons. The record is from RefSeq and is a predicted model, not a curated record. NCBI's taxonomy places the organism in Eukaryota, Metazoa, Arthropoda, Branchiopoda, Diplostraca, Daphniidae.
AACAAAUGAGACCAUGUAAAAAUUGAAAAAUCUUCUUUCAUCAUCCGGAAAAUACACGACAAGGCCUUAUGUCGACUGAGCAAAUAUAAUUCAAGAUUACAAACAAGACCACCUGCUACCCAUCACGCAUUAUAAGCUAUAAUGCUACACUGAUUGAUAAGAUCUUUCAAUCUAGAAUGAUAUCGUUUUUUUAUAUAAUGGUAAACUUGAAACUUGUUUUUUGUUUAUUCUUUUCUCUCUAUGCUGUCAGAAAGAUAAGUCGCGUUCAAUCAUCUAUUUGGUCUAGAAUCGGUACUGCAUCAUUUGAUCAUUUUCUUGACGUUAUGAGGCAUAUAGUUGCUAGGUGGACAGUAUCCGUUUCCAUGUUUUUGUGGAAAAGAGCAACGAGUUUUUACCUUUAUCUAGAUAUAUCUCUCCUCGUAAUAUAAUUCAACUCUCGACUUUGAUUCCACGUGCAAUCAAUCUUUAUCUAAUAUCUCUGACUGCAAUACAAUUCAACUCUCGUCUAUGCUUUCGUAUGCAGGUACCUUGUGAGUGUAAAAGUAGUUUCAUCGAACUAUAUUGAGAAACAAUUGUUAGUCUACAUAGGGGAGUUAAGUGAGUAAGAAAAUAUAAUUUUUAGCCAACGUGAAAUUCAUGUUAAAUUUCGAACAGCGAAAAUUGUAAGUUCUAUGCGGGAUCUGUGCUAUGCUAUUCAAAAUUAUAAUAAAUCCUUCCUCGACAUAUGGUCAGUUCAACCUGGACUGUAAGGCUGUCAAUGGGCCGGUUGCACCACCGGUGCGACCCGGCCCGAUAAAAAUCCGCAUAUUUUCGGAUUUCGGCUACACCGCUCUUCUGUUGUCCCGGUUCGCGCCGAAGAAAUCCGUUCGACUUCGUACCUUACCUAACCCCAUCGGGCCGGUUUGCACUGCACCGAAUACGAAAUACCGUUCGGCUUGGUUUCGGAGAAAAAAACAUCGGAUUUUGGGUCGAGAGGAGCGAAUAUUUUUACCUUAAAUAUCCGUAAAUGAAUAAAAAAAAAUCAUUUAAAAAAGGUUUAUGCUUAAUAGUUCGUAUUAAAUAUGUUUGAGUUAGAAAAAAUAAAAAUAAAAAUUUGGCAGGACAUGCUAGGCAUGACUUGACCAUCACAACCAGUAAGCCAUCGCAGUGUGCAUGUACGGACUGUUCCGCGUACCUUUUAACAAACCGUCAAGAACUUAAUGGAAUAAUUAGCGCAAGCUAUUUCUUUCGACGUUUUAACCUUUUGGGGCAGCACAUGAUUGAUCCCUGCAGACCAGUUUGGCAAAUUAUCCGUAGGUAGGGCUAAUUGGCAAUCCAAUAACAAUGGGCCUCUGCAGACGGGACCUUAUAGGCCAGUGUCUCGCUUAUACAACGAAAGGUCAUUCUUCACUCGAAUUAUUUACAUUGCAUUUUUUGUUUUUGUUUUUGUUUUUGUUUUUUUUUUUAUAUCGAGCGCCUUUCGUACGGCACUGAGUACUGGCCAUUUCGAUGACUCGCAAAUAAACGGGACCGGGCGAAAUGGAAUGAAUUGUUGAACGUGAACGUGCGAUCGAGGCAACGUCACCUGCGAGGACGGCCAGCAAUUUGAUCGUGUAUAAAAGAUCAGUUGCCAUGACGACGUGAGCUGCAGCAAAACUUGGUUAUAGGCCGCUGUUGUUGCAGGCUUUUAUACUCGAUUUAUUAUCGAAUAAUAUUCGGACGAUCGAUAUAAUCCACAAUCAACAAAGAUGAUUACAUGUCUCUUCCAUUUAUUCUUAAACAAUCGAACGAAAAGAAUUAAGUCCAUUUGAUGACAUAAAGACCAAAGUUUGCAUUUCAAGAUGGGUUGCAGGACAAGAUGUUGCCAUUAUGACGAUGCCACUAUACAUACAAUGCUAGCCCAUCCAUAGUAAAUCAGCUCAUAGUUGGAACAAGAGAGUGUGUAAGCAUAUUAUCUAAUCCCCUUAACCAUCUCCCCCGUCUAUCGUUGUUAUCGUCUGUGUUACACGAGACAGCGGCUCUUGUUCGCACGACCCAUCCUCCUCCACCACUACUCCCUACCCUGUCCCGGCGUCGUCCACAAAUGAUCUCCUUUAGCAUUAACUAACUAACCAACAGUAUGCAAUAAUGGACGGUAUACACAGUUGCGUACAGAUUAUUCGCCGCUCCGGACCGAUGCAAGUUUAUGCGAUCGGUCAUGUCCAUCAUCGACGUGGUGGCCAUCUUGCCCUAUUACAUUGGUCUGGACAUCUCCACUGAAAACGACGACAUCCCAGGAAUUAAAUUCUAUCGGAUAUAUAUUGGAUUGUGCUCGCUUGUGUCGAGCGUCAUGUUGCCUUUUAAAUAAACUUCUGCUCCUUUCUUCUUCA